AUUGAACGCUGGCGGCAUGCCUUACACAUGCAAGUCGAACGGCAGCACGGGAGCAAUCCUGGUGGCGAGUGGCGAACGGGUGAGUAAUAUAUCGGAACGUGCCCAGUCGUGGGGGAUAACGCAGCGAAAGUUGUGCUAAUACCGCAUACGAUCUAUGGAUGAAAGCGGGGGAUCGCAAGACCUCGCGCGAUUGGAGCGGCCGAUAUCAGAUUAGGUUGUUGGUGAGGUAAAAGCUCACCAAGCCUGCGAUCUGUAGCUGGUCUGAGAGGACGACCAGCCACACUGGAACUGAGACACGGUCCAGACUCCUACGGGGGGCAGCAGUGGGGGAAUUUUGGACAAUGGACGAAAGUCUGAUCCAGCAAUGCCGCGUGCAGGACGAAGGCCUCGGUUGUAACUGCUUUGUACAGAACGAAAAGUACUUUAAUAACACUAGAGGCUCAUGACGGUAC
Molecule: ribosomal RNA, 452 nt
Filed under: uncultured bacterium
Lineage: Bacteria
Description: bacterial SSU rRNA
Rfam family: Bacterial small subunit ribosomal RNA
Source: RNAcentral